CCCACCACUGCCACCGCGCGCAACGGCGGUCUGGAUCGCGACCUCAGGUCAGGCGGGGCCACCCGCUGAGUUUAAGCAUAUCAAUAAGCGGAGGAGAAGAAACUUACGAGGAUUCCCCUAGUAACGGCGAGCGAAACGGGAAGAGCCCAGCUUGAGAAUCGGGCAGCCCCGCUGUUCGAAUUGUAGUCUGUAGAAGCGUCGUCAGUGGCGGACCGGGCCCAAGUCCCCUGGAACGGGGCGCCGGAGAGGGUGAGAGCCCCGUCGUGCCCGGACCCUGCCGCACCACGA
This 288-nucleotide ribosomal RNA is filed under the name Acorus tatarinowii. RNAcentral describes it as "partial 28S ribosomal RNA". The stretch from base 39 to 288 matches the Rfam family "Eukaryotic large subunit ribosomal RNA", at positions 1 to 249 of the family's 3401-position model. Lineage: Eukaryota; Viridiplantae; Streptophyta; Magnoliopsida; Acorales; Acoraceae. The record is from RNAcentral.